RNAcentral lists this RNase P RNA (294 nucleotides) under Suricata suricatta (meerkat). Its description in RNAcentral is "Nuclear RNase P (ENSSSUG00005012129.1)". It matches the Rfam family "Nuclear RNase P". Rfam says of the family: Ribonuclease P (RNase P) is a ubiquitous endoribonuclease, found in archaea, bacteria and eukarya as well as chloroplasts and mitochondria. Its best characterised activity is the generation of mature 5'-ends of tRNAs by cleaving the 5'-leader elements of precursor-tRNAs. The record is from Rfam by way of RNAcentral. Lineage: Eukaryota; Metazoa; Chordata; Mammalia; Carnivora; Herpestidae.
GAUGAAAGAAAUUGAAGAUGAGAUCAGAGACUAGAGUCAAAAGUGGCUCUAACAUCUUCCCUGAGUUUUGGGGACGUAGGUUCCCAGAGAACGGGGCUGUGAGUUCCCAGAGAAUGGGGAUGGCAGACAGGGCAGGAGAUACCGUGGACCCUGCCAUCAGGCAGGGGCCUGGCAGAUGCCUCCUUAGCUGGAACUUGGAGAAGACUCAGCCUGCAGUCAGAGAAGUUCAAUGGCUGAGGUGAGGUACUCACUGCAGGGGGCCUUAUAACUUAACUCAGACUACUCUCUCCUGCC